AGGGUUUGAUCCUGGCUCAGGAUGAACGCUGGCGGCGUGUCUAAUACAUGCAAGUCGAGCGAACGGACGAGAAGCUUGCUUCUCUGAUGUUAGCGGCGGACGGGUGAGUAACACGUGGAUAACCUACCUAUAAGACUGGGAUAACUUCGGGAAACCGGAGCUAAUACCGGAUAAUAUUUUGAACCGCAUGGUUCAAAAGUGAAAGACGGUCUUGCUGUCACUUAUAGAUGGAUCCGCGCUGCAUUAGCUAGUUGGUAAGGUAACGGCUUACCAAGGCAACGAUGCAUAGCCGACCUGAGAGGGUGAUCGGCCACACUGGAACUGAGACACGGUCCAGACUCCUACGGGAGGCAGCAGUAGGGAAUCUUCCGCAAUGGGCGAAAGCCUGACGGAGCAACGCCGCGUGAGUGAUGAAGGUCUUCGGAUCGUAAAACUCUGUUAUUAGGGAAGAACAUAUGUGUAAGUAACUGUGCACAUCUUGACGGUACCUAAUCAGAAAGCCACGGCUAACUACGUGCCAGCAGCCGCGGUAAUACGUAGGUGGCAAGCGUUAUCCGGAAUUAUUGGGCGUAAAGCGCGCGUAGGCGGUUUUUUAAGUCUGAUGUGAAAGCCCACGGCUCAACCGUGGAGGGUCAUUGGAAACUGGAAAACUUGAGUGCAGAAGAGGAAAGUGGAAUUCCAUGUGUAGCGGUGAAAUGCGCAGAGAUAUGGAGGAACACCAGUGGCGAAGGCGACUUUCUGGUCUGUAACUGACGCUGAUGUGCGAAAGCGUGGGGAUCAAACAGGAUUAGAUACCCUGGUAGUCCACGCCGUAAACGAUGAGUGCUAAGUGUUAGGGGGUUUCCGCCCCUUAGUGCUGCAGCUAACGC
Molecule: ribosomal RNA, 869 nt
Filed under: uncultured bacterium
Lineage: Bacteria
Description: bacterial SSU rRNA
Rfam family: Bacterial small subunit ribosomal RNA
Source: RNAcentral